GGAGAACGGAAUCAGACAGUGGCCUAAAAAAGGGUGGAAAUGCUAACCUGGUAUUUAUGCUUAAAAGAAACAGUGAGCAGGUUGUCGAGAGCGUCGUUCAUCUCCAUGGGCUCCUCAGCACUCUGCAGGUGCGCACCUUCAUCUUCCAUCCCUGCAUUUAUUUGUCUAGAGAACAGCAGCUUGGAGCUGUUGUUGACUUGGAUCUUUGAGGUUUGCUGGCUGUUCAUGGGUAAAUGGGGCCCUCAAUUUGGGGAAGACUGGCUCUCGUGGUGAGAAAGUUACAGAAUGCAUCAACCUUCCAGGACUAGAAUUAGUGAAGAGCUGGUGUGCUGUAGGCAUGGCUUGAUAACCAUGCUACAAAUCACAUAGCGUGCUAACAUGCAUUUGGGAGAUUACUUCACUUUAGAAAGCCUUAAG
RNAcentral lists this small RNA (417 nucleotides) under Pongo abelii (Sumatran orangutan). RNAcentral's name for it is "retained intron". Lineage: Eukaryota; Metazoa; Chordata; Mammalia; Primates; Hominidae. The record is from RNAcentral.